AUUGAACGCUGGCGGCAUGCCUUACACAUGCAAGUCGAACGGCAGCACGGGAGCAAUCCUGGUGGCGAGUGGCGAACGGGUGAGUAAUAUAUCGGAACGUGCCCAGUCGUGGGGAUAACGUAGCGAAAGCUACGCUAAUACCGCAUACGAUCUAUGGAUGAAAGCGGGGGAUCGCAAGACCUCGCGCGAUUGGAGCGGCCGAUAUCAGAUUAGGUAGUUGGUGAGGUAAAGGCUCACCAAGCCGACGAUCUGUAGCUGGUCUGAGAGGACGACCAGCCACACUGGGACUGAGACACGGCCCAGACUCCUACGGGAGGCAGCAGUGGGGAAUUUUUGGACAAUGGGCGGCAAGCCUGAUCCAGCAAUGCCGCGUGCAGGAUGAAGG
RNAcentral lists this ribosomal RNA (385 nucleotides) under uncultured bacterium. RNAcentral describes it as "bacterial SSU rRNA". It matches the Rfam family "Bacterial small subunit ribosomal RNA", at positions 30 to 414 of the family's 1533-position model. The record is from RNAcentral.